GGAGUGGCAUGGAGUGGAGUGGAGUGGAGUAGAAUGGAAUGGAAUGGAAUGGAAUGGAAUGGAUGGAAGAAAGGCAGAGAGCAGGCCACAGCACGGCCCCCAACCUCGACCUCAUGUCCACUUCCUCAACCUUCCUCCCACGGUAAGCACCCCGGUCUCCCGCUGCCCUCUCCUCUGUCUC
Molecule: microRNA precursor, 181 nt
Filed under: Tursiops truncatus (common bottlenose dolphin)
Lineage: Eukaryota; Metazoa; Chordata; Mammalia; Artiodactyla; Delphinidae
Description: miRNA (ENSTTRG00000022612.1)
Source: RNAcentral